CUAGUUUCCCUUCACAGCGGCAGCGGGGGGCACAGCAGCAGCGGAUCUUGCCCUGGUGCGGCGCCGCCCCGGGUAAAAGUCCUGCUUGCCCGUGGCAAGAUCCGCUACUGUACAGCACUUACAUAUUUUCCCGUCGCUCUGCGUUCGAAGCCGCAGUAUUGAUGCAAAUAGCAUCCACCUCUGAAUCAGGCCUACAGUAUGUGUAAUAAGCCCCACUCAUUUAUUUUUAUAGGCAAUAUUUUAUUGAAUUCUCAUUUCUCAGUAGCCCUGGCCGGGAGAGCGUGCCUAUAGAUACACCCUCCUGACCCCAUGCACGCGGCUGCAUCACCAAUACUGCAUACUGGCUGAGCACACGUGGGGGCGCACUACUUUACCUGACAGGCAACGCGUUGCGGCUGCGCGGAGGAGGACGGUUGCGGCAGGACGGUUGGAGAUGGCGCUUAGCGGUCGUCCUUUACCAGCUAGGCCGCAUCACAGCACCGGGACCAGGGCGGAGUGUGGGCCGGGAGGAGGAGCAAUGACAGCGGUAGGUUGUCACGUGCUACUGAAUGAAAUGGAUGUAAAAAAAAUAAGAAAACCUCUUCAACCGGCAAGACCUAUUCGCCGCAGUGUAUCUGGUAAUGGUCCUCAAAUUAUGUUAAACCUGCGGACAGAGUUUACAGAUUGCUGUAAAGACAACAUACAGGAUAACUUUCGGCUGGUAUACUUUCAGUUUUGCUAAAUGAGAGUAGAUGCCUGUUUGGAGUUAAAAUUCAUUGGUGCUCUAUUAACAACUUGUAUGGCGCAUUAAAGGAUCCUGUGGUUCCCACGCAACCAGAAAAGCCACAGAUGCCAACCAGAAAAGACAGAAUCACCUAUACCAGAGACUUCCUGAUUCAGCUGUCAAGUUUAUCUGUGUCCAAAGAGAGACCAAAAUACUUACCGGAUCACCCUGUUGUCCUUCAGCGCCCACUCUUUGACCUGUCUGCAACUGCUCCCCCCUCAUCAGCCGGCAUCUCUGUGUAGGGAGCGAGUCUCCCUACAAAUUCCCGGACCAGUUUAAGUAUUAUUUGUCAUCUGUAAGAAGAAAAACGGAUUUCUGAAAUAUUUAUACAUAGAUUGACAACAUUUUUGUUCACUGGAAACUAACUAAAAGCCAUGGAAAACUCAAAGGAAUAGACAUUGGAAUUUGUUUUUGUGUUUAUAGACUAUUUAAUGUACAGUAUAUAGCGUUUGUAUGUAUAGAUGUUUUGUGUGACUACUAUUUUUGUUUUUUUUUCCUUCAUCUCGCUCACAAUUUACCAUUCUUAGUUAUGUUGCAUAUUUUCAUUUGUGUUUGAAAUGUUUAAGAUCUUCUUUGGCUAAGAUAUUGUAAAAAUAUAUUUUCAACUUCUGCUGAAGACAAAUCAGCAAAAGAUUUUCGUUUAUAGAGAAACUUUAAGGGUUUUUUUUGUUUGUUUUUUUUUGUUUGUUUUUUUGCAUUUGAGGGUGAUUUAAGUAACAUUUCCAUGAUUGUCAGAACAAGUGUUUACACCAAGAACUAUUGGGGCGGCCGCAGAGACGAUCCUUUCUCGUAUGCACUUAUGGAGUGUGCACAUAAGAUAAAUGGUGAAAGAUAAAAUCACUGAAUAGGUACACGCUUCAAAAUUGCAAUUCCAAUCCGUGUCCCAUCGAGAUUCCUGCACAGAAGUAGGACAUCGCCCACCUCUGACUCGCCCCCAGGGUGACUACCCUCCUAUUGGAAACAGAUCUAUGUAAGUGCUAGAUUAGAAAUUUAAAAUAUUCAUGCUCGUUGAUAUUUUCACCUCUAGGUGUUGGGGCAACACUAUCUAGGCCUCUGUUCUAGCCAGGGUUGUGAAAUUAUAACUUCCCUACGUUACUAACACCCACCCGACACACCUUGUAAAUGUGCAAAGCAUUAAAGUCCCAUCGCUAUAAUGCUGAUGUGGUAGUAUUGAAGUUAGGACCGGUGCCAUAGUGAUAUGGCCAAAUAUGCACACUGUCCUGCUUAAGAAAGGAGAGAGAAACAGUAGAUCUUAAAUUAUAUUUUCUACAUAAGUUUCUCCUUUCUUACCUUCAGCUGGUUGUCCUUUAGAGUCCAUGGGUGGGAUGUGCCAAAGCAAAAAUGCGGUAAAAACCCAUUUUUUUUUUUAUUUUUUUUUUUUACAGUGUUUUCAAAUGUGCUAAGUUCUGGACACUUUUGUUGGCAUUACGCUAUAGAAGCCUAUGGGCUUCUGUCCGCAUUCUGCUGUGUGAGAGAUUUGAUCUGAUCAUUUCCCAGUAUGCCUCGGGGGGCCGCUGUGUCCCUCUGCCCAUACACAGAUGGACAGCUUGGGCUGAUACCUGGAAGUCCAGGGUCCGAGACGCAUCGUGAAGGACAGCUCUGAGCGCAAGAACUGUCCUCUGCAACACUAAUCGCAUAUGCGAUUUAAAAAAAAAAAUCUAUAUGUGUGUGUAUGUAUGUAUGUGUAUAUAUAUAUAUGUAUGUGUAUAUAUAUAUGUAUGUGUGUGUAUAUAUAUAUAUAUAUAUAUAUAUGUGUGUGUGUAUGUAUGUAUAUAUGUAUAUAUAUAUAUAUAUACAUACUGAGAGAGGGUAGAGAAAAUACCAUCACAGUACCAUUGUCAGCAUGAGAUGUGAACCUUAAAAAAGAGGUACAUUUAAUAGAGAAAUGUAAAAACAUACUGUAAUGUAUAUUGCUGAUUAAAUGGCAGGUCUUUGUCCAAGUCAUUGACUGCAGGUGAGGGAUAGACUUAUGCAAAAAUAUGGUAAUAUACAAACAGGAAACGGUCAACAUUUUUGUGAGGAUAGAAGCAGGAGCAUAUUGAAUGGGCGACAGGUCCUGGUGGAAGAAGAUUGGCGUUUAGUAUAAGAUGGAUUUUCGCAAAAUUAUGGCAGUAUGCGCUAGAAUCUCAACGAUCAAUUUAUAAAUAAAUGGCUCUUCUGACAUCCAUGAAAAGAGAGUACAAAUCACUCUGUUCUACAUCAUAAUCCUACUGUAUGACACCCUCCAAUAUAUACAUGGCAAUAGUAAAUCCCACGUGUUCCAACAUUGCUGUAUAUAUGACUAUGGUGUGGGUGUAGGACAUGUCACACUACUGCAGUGCUUUCUAUAUUGGGUAUACCAAUAAUAAGUCUGCCUGCCUGCUGGUAUAAAGCGCAUCUAGAAGCUAGUAAAAAAAACAACAGGGUAAUCAGUAAAUGUACUGUGAGAACAUGCACGUUGUACUGUAGGUAGCAAUGUUGUGUGUGGGGCUAAUAUAUGAGAUUGCAGCCUGACCAAUCACUGGGAGGCGGUGACAUCACAGUGGGGCUUCAUGCCAAAAUAUUCACCAAGCAUUACUUCCUGCAUUAUUACUGGCAAUUCUCUGAGUGGCUGUCAUUUGAUGAAGGAAAACCCGUUUAAAUAAACUCCUCACCACAUCA
Pseudophryne corroboree (corroboree frog) is the source of this 3403-nucleotide RNA transcript. It is a transcript of the gene named chromosome 5 C8orf88 homolog, with no coding region annotated. The record is from RefSeq and is a predicted model, not a curated record. Lineage: Eukaryota; Metazoa; Chordata; Amphibia; Anura; Myobatrachidae. The transcript has 6 exons.